RNAcentral lists this long non-coding RNA (452 nucleotides) under Bos taurus (domestic cattle). RNAcentral's name for it is "long non-coding RNA NONBTAT026478". The record is from RNAcentral. Lineage: Eukaryota; Metazoa; Chordata; Mammalia; Artiodactyla; Bovidae.
CUAAGGCUCCCACCACUGCGGAUGGGCUGGAGACCGUGAUGGUCUAAAGCAACACCGUGUCACAACUGAAAGGUGGAGAAUUCUCUACAGUAGAGUUACCCUAACUCACCUAGGUAGCACCCGGUUGUCACUUGGGUCUUGCUAUUUAUAAAGUUCUGAUAAAACAUACCUUUCCAAGUAUUUUGUUGGUUUGUGUGUGUUUCUGUGUACAGCCAUCUGCACUGGAUUUAGAUACUGGAGAUUGAACCAGGAGAAAAAUCUGUGACCAGAUGCUGUGCUAUUCUCACCUGUUAAUCUCAUGUCUGCUGAUGCUUUUUUCUUAGAAGUUGUCUCCUAGGAAAUUCCUGUUAAACCCUGGCUUAUCAUUUCAGCAGACCCAUCUACCUAUGUGAUUUUUUUCCCCCUCUGUCUCUUCAUUAGCCUUUUAUUUGCUUAUAGUGUUUCUUUAAACG